Molecule: long non-coding RNA, 1486 nt
Organism: Drosophila yakuba
Lineage: Eukaryota; Metazoa; Arthropoda; Insecta; Diptera; Drosophilidae
Exons: 2
Source: RefSeq, a predicted model, not a curated record
UAUUUAUUUUUUAUAUUUCACAUAAAAUUGUAUAUUUUCCGAAGCUGCUUAAGUGCAAGCAAUGAGAAUCGCGGAGAAAGGCAGUUAUUUUAGUAUUCACUUGGUAUUAUUUUUGUAGUUAAUUUAGUAUUUAUUUUUUAUAUUUCACAUAAAAUGUUAUAUUUUCCGAAGCUGCUUAAGUGCAAGCAAUGAGAAUCGCGGAGAAGGGCAGUUAUUUUAGUAUUCACUUGGUAUUAUUUUUGUUGUUAAUUUAGUAUUUAUUUUUUAUAUUUCACAUAAAAUUUUAUUUUUUGCGCAGCUGCUUAAGUGCGAACAAUGAGAAUCGCGGAGGAGGGCAUGUAAUUUUGCAUUUAAUCAAUUUUAUUUUUUUAGGUAAUUUAUUAUUUUGUUGAAUACUUGGCAUAUGUAAUUGAUUAUUUAUCAUAUAAAUUAUUAAUAAUAUAUUGUGCACAUGCGAUCUAAAAGCCUUGUUUUCAUUUUUUUUUAUGUUAUAUGGUUUACAAUAUUGUAAACAAACUUUGUGAAAAACAAUGAGCCUUGGUAUCAUUAAAAUAUUAUCAUAUUUUACACGAUUCAAUUGUCUUAUUGGCAACAGCUGGCAGUAAAACAAAAUUCGAACUUUUUUUUGGCACCCCGACAAUGAAAUAAUGAGUGCUACACUACCUACCCCAAGCCAAUCCGCGAAUUGCCAGUUCCCAGCGCCCAGUUUCCAGUUCCUCGCUUUUUAGCCGAGUUGCUAAGCAACAGGUAGGCCCACAAUUUGGCCAAAGAAAAAACGAGACCGAGUGAUGCUCUCUCUUUGGCCAAAUAGGAAAUCGGCCCAGAUGAAAAGCAGUCAGCCAGCCAGCCAGCCGAACCUUCAGAUUCGCUUUCGUUUGCUGCGUCACAAGGGAAAUUCCGUGCGCCCAGAGAAUUUCCCAGAGCCCCGAUAGAAAAUCUCGCAUGCGAGAUGGUCGGAAAAGCGGGAAAAUCGGUGCCCGCUCUCCUUUCGCCGCGCUUCGACUCACUUCGUUUCGCUUCUCGCUUUUCGGCAUCGUCCAUCGCAUUUUCUGAUUCUGAUUUCAGUUCUCGUUCAGCUUUGCCGACGACACGACGUGCUUCACUAGCGAAAAGAAAAACUAGAAUAAACUGGGGAAAAUCUGGGAAAAUUACUCGUCGUCUUGUGAAUUGGCGCGGGCCAAGAAAAGCUAUCUUACAAAAAAAAAACAUUUUCAAAGUUAUAAUAAAAAAAAAAAGAGAUAAAGAACAAUUUCUGUUAUGCACUGAGAGAAACAAUGCUAAGAGCGAAUAAGUAAGCAGAGAAAACGAAAAAUAACAAAGGAAAUCUAUAGAAAAAUACUUAAAUAUAUACAGAUCCAUAAACAAACUGAUUUAUAUAUAUUUGAGUCGGACGUUUGAUUGAUUUGUGGCAACUAUCAAACAACAAACCAACAAAACAAAAAACAAAACAAAAAUACCAACAGCAGCAAGUCAGCAAAAACAACAA